AGUGAACGCUGGCGGUAGGCCUAACACAUGCAAGUCGAACGGCAGCACAGUAAGAGCUUGCUCUUACGGGUGGCGAGUGGCGGACGGGUGAGGAAUACAUCGGAAUCUACUUUUUCGUGGGGGAUAACGUAGGGAAACUUACGCUAAUACCGCAUACGACCUACGGGUGAAAGCAGGGGAUCUUCGAACCUUACGCGAUUGAAUGAGCCGAUGUCGGAUUAGCUAGUUGGCGGGGUAAAGGCCCACCAAGGCGACGAUCCGUAGCUGGUCUGAGAGGAUGAUCAGCCACACUGGAACUGAGACACGGUCCAGACUCCUACGGGAGGCAGCAGUGGGGAAUAUUGGACAAUGGGCGCAAGCCUGAUCCAGCCAUACCGCGUGGGUGAAGAAGGCCUUCGGGUUGUAAAGCCCUUUUGUUGGGAAAGAAAAGCAGCAGGUUAAUACCCCGCUGUUCUGACGGUACCCAAAGAAUAAGCACCGGCUAACUUCGUG
RNAcentral lists this ribosomal RNA (492 nucleotides) under uncultured bacterium. RNAcentral describes it as "partial 16S ribosomal RNA". It matches the Rfam family "Bacterial small subunit ribosomal RNA", at positions 29 to 507 of the family's 1533-position model. The record is from RNAcentral.